GCACUACUGAAGAGUCUCACAGUAGAACGAAACGGUCGUCCAGUGC
This is a non-coding RNA of Schistosoma rodhaini, 46 nucleotides long. The record is from Rfam. Lineage: Eukaryota; Metazoa; Platyhelminthes; Trematoda; Strigeidida; Schistosomatidae.